AUUGAACGCUGGCGGCAGGCCUAACACAUGCAAGUCGAACGGUAACAGGAAGAAGCUUGCUUCUUUGCUGACGAGUGGCGGACGGGUGAGUAAUGUCUGGGAAACUGCCUGAUGGAGGGGGAUAACUACUGGAAACGGUAGCUAAUACCGCAUAACGUCGCAAGACCAAAGAGGGGGACCUUCGGGCCUCUUGCCAUCGGAUGUGCCCAGAUGGGAUUAGCUAGUAGGUGGGGUAACGGCUCACCUAGGCGACGAUCCCUAGCUGGUCUGAGAGGAUGACCAGCCACACUGGAACUGAGACACGGUCCAGACUCCUACGGGAGGCAGCAGUGGGGAAUAUUGCACAAUGGGCGCAAGCCUGAUGCAGCCAUGCCGCGUAUGAAGAAGGCCUUCGGGUUGUAAAGUACUUUCAGCGGGGAGGAAGGGAGUAAAGUUAAUACCUUUGCUCAUUGACGUUACCCGCAGAAGAAGCACCGGCUAACUCCGUG
This 488-nucleotide ribosomal RNA is filed under the name uncultured bacterium. RNAcentral's name for it is "partial 16S ribosomal RNA". It matches the Rfam family "Bacterial small subunit ribosomal RNA", at positions 30 to 507 of the family's 1533-position model. The record is from RNAcentral.